This 888-nucleotide ribosomal RNA is filed under the name uncultured Methanosaeta sp. Its description in RNAcentral is "bacterial SSU rRNA". It matches the Rfam family "Archaeal small subunit ribosomal RNA", at positions 18 to 907 of the family's 1478-position model. The record is from RNAcentral. Lineage: Archaea; Methanobacteriati; Methanobacteriota; Methanomicrobia; Methanotrichales; Methanotrichaceae.
CAGAGGUUACUGCUAUCGAGAUUCGACUAASCCAUGCGAGUUGAAUGUUCUUCGUGAACAUGGCGGACUGCUCAGUAACACGUGGACAACCUACCCUUGGGUCCGGCAUAAUCCUGGGAAACUGGGAAUAAUUCCGGAUAGGUCACCGAUGCUGGAAUGCGCGGUGGCCGAAAGCUCCGGCGCCCGAGGAUGGGUCUGCGGCCUAUCAGGGUUGUAGUGGGUGUAACGUACCUACUAGCCUACGACGGGUACGGGUUGUGAGAGCAAGAGCCCGGAGAUGGAUUCUGAGACACGAAUCCAGGCCCUACGGGGUGCAGCAGGCGCGAAAACUUUACAAUGCGGGAAACCGUGAUAAGGGGAUCUCGAGUGCCAGCAUAUAAUGUUGGCUGUCCAGAUGCCUAAAAAGCAUCUGUUAGCAAGGGCCGGGCAAGACCGGUGCCAGCCGCCGCGGUAACACCGGCGGCCCGAGUGGUAACCGCUAUUAUUGGGUCUAAAGGGUCUGUAGCCGGCCAGGUAAGUCCCUUGGGAAAUCUGGCAGCUCAACUGUCAGGCUGCUAGGGGAUACUGUUUGGCUUGGGACCGGGAGAGGUGAGAGGUACCUUGGGGGUAGGGGUGAAAUCUUGUGAUCCUCGAGGGACCACCAGUGGCGAAGGCGUCUCACCAGAACGGGUCCGACGGUAAGGGACGAAAGCUAGGGGCACGAACCGGAUUAGAUACCCGGGUAGUCCUAGCCGUAAACGAUGCUCGCUAGGUGUCAGUCACGGUGCGACCGUGAUUGGUGCCGUAGGGAAGCCGUGAAGCGAGCCACCUGGGAAGUAUGGCCGCAAGGCUGAAACUUAAAGGAAUUGGCGGGGSAGCACUACARCGGGUGGAGCCUGCGGUUUAUUG